AGGAGCCCCAGCGAGUCUGGGCGGAGAUGGGGGCAGAGCUGCAGAAGGGAGCCGGACUUGGUGGCGCAUGACUUCACUUCCAGCACUGGGGAGGCAGAGGUCAGUUUCUCUCCUGGAGGAAACAGGACACAAAGGCAUGUGCCCCUCUUCAAGUUUAGAACAUCUUCCACCGAUGGAGCAACUGAAACCCCACGUAGAUUAGGCAGAACGUGAGCUUGAAUCUGAGGGCACUCCUCCUCAUCUUCCCGGCACCUACUCCGUCUACCUGUCCAGGUUCUGUAACUCCUACAGCCACCUGACAGUGGGCUGAAGGCCCCACAUCCCGUACAGGGACUCCAGCACACUAACAGACCUAGGAGAGUGUCUGCUGAAUGAAUGAAUGUGCUGGGAGAGUUGAGCCUGUAAUCGCAGCACUAGGAGGUGGCCAGUGGAUCAAGGGUUCAAGUCAUCCUUGCCUAC
Molecule: long non-coding RNA, 459 nt
Organism: Jaculus jaculus (lesser Egyptian jerboa)
Lineage: Eukaryota; Metazoa; Chordata; Mammalia; Rodentia; Dipodidae
Exons: 3
Source: RefSeq, a predicted model, not a curated record